Molecule: microRNA precursor, 101 nt
Organism: Ochotona princeps (American pika)
Lineage: Eukaryota; Metazoa; Chordata; Mammalia; Lagomorpha; Ochotonidae
Source: Ensembl
UGUGUAUAUAUGUAUGUGUGCAUAUGUAUGUGUUUAAUUUAUAGAUCUAGAAAUAGAAACACACGAUACACACACAAUACAUACACAAUACACACACAAUA